GAAGCUGGUUUGGAGAAUUAAGUUUCCUUUCACGUCUGGAGAUCCAUAAUCUGUUAGAGAAAGUCGACUUGGAUGAAAAUUCUCCUCUGGUCUUUUGAUCUUGGUAGCUACCACGCCUUGCACAAAACAAAUGAAUAAAUUAGUGAAUGAGUGAAUAGAUGAAGUAAUGAACUGAGACAGAGUUUUGCUACAUUGCUCAGGCUGAUCUCUCCUCUUGGGCUCAAGUGAUCUGCCAGCCUUGGCCUCCUGAAGUGCUGGGAUUAUAGGCAUGAGCCACCAUGCCCGGCCCAAUAUCAACAUUCUGAACAUCAGCCUUUGUACUGAGUGAUAAUACAGCAACGCUGUCAAGGCCCACUGGGAGAACAAAGAGAGGUGGAUCCCAGGAGGCAGCCAGGGGAUGCAAGGAGCCAACAUGCCAUCAGAGAGGGGUGAAGAGAUAAGGUCCCAAGGAAAGCUAUUGGAAAGCUUUCUACCAAAAGGGAGAUCAAGGACCACAGAGCACAUCCUGAAAGACAAGUCUUUGUUCCAAAGGAAGGAAUGGUUCCACCAGGAGACACAACAAUGAUUAUACUGAACUGCAAGUUAAGACUGCCACCUGAUGCCUCUGAAUCUACUGGCAAGCAAGGAAGUUACUGUGCUGGGUGGGUUGAUUGAUCCAGACUACAAGGGGAAAUUGGACAGCUGCUCCACAAUAGAGUCAUCCUCAGUGAGUGCCUUAUCAAGCUUAUUACUUCAUGGUGACAAGAGGGCUGCACUUGAUCCAACAUCAAUUUUGGAUUCCAGUAAGCAAGAAGAAGAAGACAAAUGAGAAAAAGAUAUAAGCCAGCAAACCUUCCAAGAGCAAAGGGGACACUUUCCCUUCACCCCUGCAGAAGACGUCUCCGAGGAAGUGAAACAUUGGUGGAUAUAUGAUAGAAAUCAUCAUGGUAAAGAAAGUAUUACAGUAAGACUGAAAACCAACCAUUUUGCCCAAGGGACAGACCCUCAGCUGUGACUCUGCACCUGAUCUCUGUGGCUUUGCUGAAAUGUAGCUUUAACCCUGGAGUACCCUAAAGGUGAGCACCAGCGCGAUGGAGAGGUGAGAGCACAGACUUUGGCUGUUGGCCUCAGUUUCUUCCUCUGCAGUUUGGUGUGAAGCUCAGAGAUGGUGCAUGGAGCCCCCAGAGAUAGUAGCUGGCACCUGGAGACCCAUGCCCUGCUUGGGCCACACCUCUGCUGGUGCAGGGAAACCUGGGCAACCCGAGGUGGACAGACCAGUUCUACUGGAAGCUGGUCCCCAUCACCUGUACUUUUCCCACAAAAGACUCCCUUCCUUAUCCCCUUCCUCACUCACCCACAAAAGAACCCUUUCCUUAUCCAUGACCUGUACUUUACCCACAAGAAACCCCCUUCCUUACCCACUCCCUUCCUUACUCAAUCUGGCAGGGCUCAGAUUGCAAUAAAGAAGGGUCAGUAAUCCACAAAUCCAAAUAUUCAGUUUCCUGGCAGACGUAGAAUCAUUCAUAUUCUUGAAUCAAAAGGAUCUGUUCACGAUUAGAAAAAAAAAUUCAUCUAACUGCGUUUUUCAUUAAUAGAAACUGCAUAUAGAAAUCCUCUAGAACAACAUCAUACACCAUGGAGUUGACAAUUCAUCAUGCUCUAUUCUAGGCUCGGCUUCAGCAUAUUUGAAAUCAGCUAGGAGGCUUCUGUUGAUACAAAAUACAGUAUUUGUAGACUGAUCUAGUCCUGCAGCAGGUGGUAAAGAAGUAUGAACUGAAACUGCCAUAUGGCGGUGUGAAGGAAAUGUUUCUCUCCAGAGAAAUACUUGAAAGUGUCAUAAAAACAGUAAAAACAUUUAACAGCUCAAAAGGCUUAAAUUCAGUAUGUACAGAAACUGUGUCAACUUUGGAGUCAGGCUGCUUUCAUUAAAAUCUCAGCAGAUAGAUGAUAACUUUCACUCGCGUCCAUGUGAAGAGACCACUAAACAGGCUUUGUGUGAGCAAUAAAGCUUUUAAUCACCUGGGU
RNAcentral lists this long non-coding RNA (2004 nucleotides) under Homo sapiens (human). RNAcentral's name for it is "HSALNT0160165". Lineage: Eukaryota; Metazoa; Chordata; Mammalia; Primates; Hominidae. The record is from RNAcentral.